AUAAUAAAUAGCUGAGAACUCAAUGCAAAGAGAGUGGAGUUCAGACCCAGCGCUGACUUCCCACACUGGUGUGGGUUUGACAAGCCACAAGCAGCAAGGCACAAGAAACCUCUACAAGUACCACACCUGGACAGAGGCCGAGGUUCGUGGUGAUGGGCAGUGAAGACUGUAUCUCAGCAGGACCUCUAGGAAAACUGGAAACAAAUGAAGACCACCCGCAUGAGAACAGACAGAAGCUGUUUACUUAGAACUUGCAAAGGAGUCUGCCAUCAUUUGCAUUUGGCAGGGACUCAAAAGCAGGCAGAGACUGGAAAAAUUCACAGUGGAAAAAAAAGGGAAGGCUUCAGGUGUGCUGUGAUUGGAGUUGUUGGCACGGGGACACCAGAGAUUCUGGCUGUUGACCACUUGGGAUGUUACUGUGCACUGGACACACACAAACUGAUGGAACUGAGGGGUAAGCGGUGGGAUGUUGGUGAGGUUAAGUAGAGAAAGCUAUAUUAGAUUUGAAUCAUAAAUUCAGAAAAUUAUAUAUAUAUAUUUCCUACUGUAUGCAAGGUACUUUUCUAGGUACUAGAGACACGGCAAUACAAAUCUCUGCCUUCAUAGAGCUUUUCUUCCAGUAGGCAUUCACUAGAUACAGGGAUUAUCUCAUUCUGUAGCAGAAGAGGGUUCUCAGCAUCAAACCAUGGAUUAUGGGAGCAAAAAUGACACAAAGAAUCAGGAAAGGUCACACUCACUGAGCCUUACUCUCUGGAAAGAACUAUUUACUGUGAAGAGAAAAUAAAAGGAAUGAAUGACAGCCUGGGAAAUAAGUAGCAAUGAGUUACAUUCAAAAUGGGGAAAGAAUUCCAUUUACCAAGUGGGAAACCUAAAACUAUAAAAAUAAAGUCAAAUUAGGGAGAGGAAGUGGCUUUUCUUUUUUCUUGACAGGAGUUUAUCUAAGGGUCUAGAAAAGAAAGAGAAAUACACUUCAAAUUUUAAUGAGCAAUUGCAGCCUCUUCCUCCUGGGUAGAACCGAUUUUCUAAGCAAGUCAGAGAUUCUCCUCUAUUGCCAACUAUACACGUGUCCUCAAACAUCCUCUGCUUCUUCCAGGAUCCUUUACCUUGAAGAGUUGUUAAGCUCUCAUAGGAAGCCUUGGUGAUCCAUCUAAACUAUUCACUCUACUGGGCAGUUCUAGUGUUGAUUCUGACAUUAUUUGGCACUCAUCCGAAAAUACAUGCAGAAGAUGUGAAAAAGCCGGGCAAUCUACUAGGUAUACGUCGGAAUGUAUGGAAAAUUCUGAAAACAGCAAUGACUCAGACAAGGUAGAAAUUUAUUUCUUGUUCACAUGAAACUUUGAGCAGGGUGCCCACACUGGUGAUGGUGCUCCGUGGUCUUAGGGACUCUGGUUUCUGGUAUUAGGGACCUUGUUGCUCCUUCCAUUUGUGACCUGCACUGCUUGUAAAGAUGGCAGCAUCUACAUUCUAGGUUGCAGGAUAAAGAAGAAGAGAGGCUGGACGCAGUGACUCACACGUGUAAUCCCAGCACUUUGGGAGGCUGAGGCUGGCACAUUGCUUCUGCCCAGGAGUUUGAGACCAGCCUGGGAAACAUGGCAAAACUCCAUUUCUACAACAAAUACAAAAUUAGCUGGGCAUGGUGGCCCAUGCCUGUAGUCCCAGCUAAGCUCCUUGGGAGGCUGAGGUGGGAGGAUUACUUGAGUCCGGGAGGUGAGGUUGCAGUGAGCCAAAAUCACACACACCACUGCACUCCAGCCUGAGUGACAGAGUGAGACCCUGUGUUAAAAAAAAAAAAAAAAAGACAACAGCAAAAGAUAUACUACUGCUGCUUCUUUAAGGAAGGGGCAAUAUUUCCACUUAUGUCCCAUUUGCUGGAUUUUAAACUUGUUGCUUCUCUCAGCCACUAGGCAGGUUGGAGAAAUACAGUUUUUAUUCUGGGUAGCCGUGUGUCCAGCUCAAACUCAGAAGAUCUAACACAAUGGAAGAACCUGGAUUUGGGGGAUGAAUUAGUAUUAAUAGAUUAGGCUCUGCUGUGGUACAUACAAACCCUAUUAUCUCAGUGGCUUGCCUAGCUAAGGUUUAUUUCCUGCUCAGGAACCCCAGUUGACAGGUGCUUCACCAUCCCUCAGCUGAUUGCUGGAACACGGGGCCUUCAAGACAGGGAUAAGAAGGGAAGAGAGGGCACGGAGGUAGAAUACCAGCUCCUAAAUGCUUACGAUUGACAUCCAUCAUUUCUGCUCUCAGCCCCUUGGCCAGAGCUAGUCCCAUGGCUUCUUCCUAACUACCGGAGAACAUGGAAAAUGUGGAAAAGCAUUUUAUUAUUGUAAGUGGGCAAUAAAUGUCUCUGCCACUUACUGGGGUUAAUACUUGAAUUCAGUUAAAGAGCCGAAGUUCUGAUUGAGCACUUUGUCAGCAUUUAACUUUCCUCUCUUCCCCCACAGGCCUAUCUGUGGCUUGGAGCCUCCGUGUCCUUCUAGCCCUGUCAAUCUGUGUUUUUCUCUGUGUGUCCACAUACACAGAUUGUAUACAACCUCUGUGUAUCCACAGUCUUGAAGAGAAGCCCUGGGCUCUGGUGCUAUAUUUUCCCAUUUGGCACAGAGGAGGCCUCCCUUUAAACGACAAUAAAAAUAGCCUCCAUUUAUGUUGCUGUUUCUUUCCCUUUGUCUCUUCUACUAAAGGAGCCAACUAAACAAAAUGUGUGCUUUCGGUGCCUGUUCUGUGUUCACUUUAAGAUUUAAUCAACCCUCUGAACCUGCAGCAUAACUGUCUCAUAAUGUCAAGUUAAUAUAUCGAGAUCAGCUCGAACCUACCAUUCCCAAGGGUGAUUUUGUUUAAAGGCAAGUUGUAAUUGAAUUUCUAAGCAACUGCCAAGCUUUCAAGGUACCAAAAUAAACAUUAUCCAAACAGAAACUUAUCCUGGAAUCUUUGGUUAACU
Long non-coding RNA from Callithrix jacchus (white-tufted-ear marmoset), 2932 nucleotides. Lineage: Eukaryota; Metazoa; Chordata; Mammalia; Primates; Cebidae. The record is from Ensembl.